UCCCCGCAAAGUUAACCACAAAGAUGAUCCGGAAUAGAGAAGGAAAGCAGGAAUGGUAAGAAAAGCUUCAGAAGGCUCAUUUGGGGCACGGCAGAGAACUAUGGAUGCUAUCACAGUGCUUUCCCCUGGACCUUCUAGCUUUAGGACACCUCUCAUUGAACCUCACGUUCCUCUCCGUCCUGCUAACACCAUUACCAAGGUCCCUUCAGAGAAGAUCCUCAGAGCUGGAAAAAUUUUACGAAUUGCCAUUCUCUCUCGAGCACCCCACAUGAUAAGAGACAGAAAAUACCACCUAAAGACAUACAGACAAUGCUGUGUUGGGACUGAGCUGGUAGACUGGAUGAUACAGCAAACGUCCUGUGUUCACUCCCGGACUCAAGCUGUUGGCAUGUGGCAAGUCUUGCUAGAAGACGGUGUCCUCAACCAUGUGGACCAGGAACGCCACUUCCAAGACAAAUAUUUAUUUUAUCGAUUUCUGGAUGACGAGCAUGAGGAUGCCCCUUUGCCUACUGAGGAAGAGAAGAAGGAGUGUGAUGAGGAACUCCAGGACACCAUGCUGCUGCUGUCACAGAUGGGCCCUGAUGCCCACAUGAGGAUGAUCCUGCGCAAACCACCUGGCCAGAGGACUGUGGAUGACCUAGAGAUUAUCUAUGAUGAGCUCCUUCAUAUCAAAGCCUUAUCCCAUCUUUCUACUACAGUGAAAAGGGAAUUAGCCGGUGUUCUCAUUUUUGAGUCUCAUGCCAAAGGAGGAACUGUGUUGUUUAACCAGGGGGAAGAAGGUACCUCCUGGUACAUUAUUCUAAAAGGAUCAGUGAAUGUAGUCAUUUAUGGCAAGGGUGUGGUCUGCACCCUGCACGAGGGCGAUGACUUUGGCAAGUUAGCUCUCGUGAAUGAUGCCCCACGAGCCGCCUCCAUUGUUCUUCGAGAAGAUAAUUGUCACUUCUUAAGAGUUGACAAGGAAGAUUUCAACCGGAUUUUGAGGGACGUUGAGGCGAAUACAGUCAGACUUAAAGAACAUGACCAAGAUGUCUUGGUGCUGGAGAAGGUCCCAGCAGGGAGCAGAGCUUCUAAUCAAGGAAACUCACAGCCUCAGCAAAAGUAUACUGUGAUGUCAGGAACACCUGAAAAAAUUUUAGAGCACUUUUUAGAAACAAUACGCCUUGAACCAUCUUUGAAUGAAGCAACAGAUGCGGUUUUAAAUGACUUUGUUAUGAUGCACUGUGUUUUUAUGCCAAAUACCCAGCUUUGUCCUGCCCUGGUGGCCCAUUACCAUGCACAGCCUUCUCAAGGUACGGAACAGGAAAGAAUGGACUAUGCCCUCAACAACAAGAGGCGUGUCAUCCGCUUGGUUCUGCAGUGGGCUGCCAUGUAUGGGGACCUCCUCCAAGAAGAUGAUGUGGCCAUGGCUUUCCUGGAGGAGUUCUAUGUGUCUGUGUCAGAUGAUGCCCGGAUGAUGGUUGCCUUCAAGGAACAACUGCCAGAGCUGGAGAAGAUCGUCAAACAAAUCUCAGAAGACGUGAAAGCCCCACAGAAGAAGCACAAGGUGCUUUUGCAACAGUUCAACACAGGCGAUGAGAGGGCCCAGAAGCGCCAGCCGAUCCGUGGCUCUGAUGAGGUUUUGUUUAAGGUCUACUGCAUGGACCACACCUAUACCACCAUCCGGGUACCUGUAGCUGCCUCGGUGAAGGAAGUCAUCAGUGCAGUGGCUGACAAACUCGGCUCAGGGGAAGGCCUGAUCAUAGUCAAGAUGAACUCUGGAGGAGAAAAGGUGGUGCUCAAACCUAAUGAUGUUUCAGUAUUUACGACGCUCACCAUUAAUGGACGCCUGUUUGCCUGCCCGCGAGAGCAAUUCGACUCACUGACUCCCUUGCCAGAACAAGAAGGCCCAACCACUGGGACAGUAGGAACUUUUGAACUGAUGAGCUCGAAAGACUUGGCAUACCAGAUGACAACAUAUGACUGGGAACUCUUCAACUGUGUGCAUGAGCUGGAGCUAAUCUACCACACAUUUGGAAGGCAUAAUUUUAAAAAGACCACAGCAAACUUGGAUUUGUUCCUGAGGAGAUUUAAUGAAAUUCAGUUUUGGGUUGUCACUGAGAUCUGCCUUUGUUCCCAGCUCAGCAAGCGUGUUCAGCUUUUGAAAAAGUUUAUCAAGAUAGCGGCUCACUGCAAGGAGUACAAAAAUCUAAAUUCCUUUUUCGCCAUCAUCAUGGGACUCAGUAAUGUCGCCGUGAGCCGAUUGGCACUAACCUGGGAGAAACUGCCAAGCAAGUUUAAGAAGUUCUAUGCAGAGUUUGAAAGCUUAAUGGAUCCUUCCAGAAACCACAGGGCCUACAGGCUGACAGCAGCUAAACUGGAUCCCCCCCUCAUCCCUUUCAUGCCCUUGCUUAUUAAAGAUAUGACAUUUACUCAUGAGGGGAACAAGACGUUCAUUGACAAUCUAGUAAACUUUGAAAAAAUGUCUCAUAAAGUUCACUCAAGUUCAGAGAGGGGACUUGGAGACUCAGAGAUCUCCAUAACGACGACGACGACGACGACGACGACGACAACAACAACAAUGAAUUGUCAGUAACAAACGUGAAACUGGCACUUUGCUGUUCACUGCUUUCCAGCCCCUUCUCCUCCACCCCACCCCCAUCCAGAGAAGAGUCUGGCAAAGGUACUUUGCAGUUUGUGUUCUUAUCGUCUGUGAAGCAACAAGGCAGGCCCCGCCAGAGCCUUUCUUUAGCACACAGUCCACGUCAAUGGAAUGCCACUCUGUCUCCGGAUCCCCAGGGCUGCAUGUAGCCUGGGGAAACAGAGUAGCAGAGCUUCAUUUCCCCAAGGGGUAAGCAUUUGCCCAAGAUUGUUUUGCAGUGUGAAUGUGGCCCUGGAUUUGGAACUCGGGAGACACUGGGUCAAUACUCAAUUCCAUCCUUUUGUUCCUCAUCUUCAUCUUCUGUGUGAGUCUCUUUCCCCAGCAGAAAAUGGGGCUCAUGACUGUUUAGCCACCUCUAGGCUGAUGGAUGGUCCAUGGUGCAUGAGUCUUCUAUGCCGCAGAAAGUACUGCAGAGUUAUUAUCAGAAACCCGUAAUUCUAAUUGUUUCUUGAAAUCAAGAUAGUGUGUAUGUCUGCAGAAGAAUUUGAAAAACCUCACUGUCUAUGGGUUAGGGCUCAGCCCUGUUCAUAUGAGUUUAUGAUUAGGAAGUACAGUUUAAGUCCACUGUCUUAAACUUCUGAAGAAACAGACUGUAAGCACACACCCCUCAAAGACACGCACCCAUGGGCAAACAGUGAUUCUUUGCUUACUUGUUAGCGUAAAGAGCUAAACAUUCCCCAGUGUUUUCGAGGAGAAAGACAAAUGCUUGUUUUUCCAAAGUGGAUGAUUGAGCAAAUAGGAAAAGUGCUUUCCGAAUCACUUAUGCAGAACAUUCUAAGACCAAGAAGUAGCUAAGCCAACCACUGGGAUAUAAAAUAUAGGGGGGCAGAGAUGUGAAACCCAGCAUUCCCUGAAGAGUCCUAGAACUUUUGACUGCUGACGUGACCUACGUGGUCCAGAGUAAGCAAGAACAGCAUUGUGCUCUGAGCCAGUCAUCUACUGGGGAGGCUGAGAGUUGGCUCUGAGUUUCUAGUGUCCUGUAGCCUGCAGAGGGAAGUCAAGAUGACCCAAGAUGUCUGUACCUCAGGUGCACAGCAUUGAACUCUCCCGCACCCCCCAGGCAGUAAGCAAGAGGUCCUGACUGUUCUGCUCUCUGGGCAGACAUGUAUGUUUAACAGCCACUGAUUAGUUAAACUAGCACUGCAGCUACAAUAAACAAGCCUAAACUCAUAAUGGUUUGAAAGCCAUUAUGAUAAUUUAGAAGCACAGUUAAGUUUAUUCCUUUUCGCUUCUAAGUCUUGAGUGAGCAUGGCAGCUCCACUCUGAGGAGUAGUCGAGGUUCCUGGCUUCAGCUCUCAUCGCAUUUCACAUGGUCCAUGACGACAUGCCAUCACAUCCAUGUCCCAGCCAUGAAGAAGGAGAAGGUGUGCUUCUUCCCCUUAAGCGCAUGAUUGCAAAUACUGCCAGAACAGUGCGGUACUGCAGGAGCCAGCCCUUCAAUCCCGAUGCCGCUCAAGCUAAUAAGAACCAUCAGGAUGUCCGGAGUUAUGUACGGCAAUUAAAUGUGAUUGACAACCAGAGAAC
This is a non-coding RNA of Cricetulus griseus (Chinese hamster), 4162 nucleotides long. The record is from RefSeq and is a predicted model, not a curated record. NCBI's taxonomy places the organism in Eukaryota, Metazoa, Chordata, Mammalia, Rodentia, Cricetidae.